Molecule: long non-coding RNA, 1443 nt
Organism: Heteronotia binoei (common prickly gecko)
Lineage: Eukaryota; Metazoa; Chordata; Lepidosauria; Squamata; Gekkonidae
Exons: 2
Source: RefSeq, a predicted model, not a curated record
GAGAGAGAGAGAGACCGACGGACGGCAAGAAAAGGAAGAAGCAGCAGAAGAAAAGAGAGCGAUGGGGGGCGGGGGGGAGAGCAGCCAGGAUCGCAGCAGCCAAGCCAGACGCUCUUCAUCCAGGCCACGGAAAGCGAAGACCUUCUGCUCUUGGAAAAAUCCUUUCCGGAUCCUGUCACACCAUCUAGAAGGCUAAAGAAGAUGAUGAUCAAUGAAUUUACCAGUCAGGAAACCAUGGGAUGAAAGAAGGAAACAUCUAAGUCUGUUGUUGGGGUGCCUAAGGGUGCAAUCUUUAUCUCAUUAUCAAUGGCAAACAAUGAUUUUAAUGAUUCAUCACUGCACUCAUAGAAGAUUAAAAAUUCUACAUACAUGUGGAGAACUUUUAAAACCUAUUCAAAGACUUUUUCAUAUGGGAAUUAUGGUCAAACACAGAGAUGGUGUAAUCUAACACCUCCAGCCAGUAGAUGGUGCUAUACUAUUUUCUUACUGCUGUUAUCGGUUGCCUUUGUUAUUACGCUGUUCUCUUUUGAGAUCUAUCUGAAAGUUCAGCCAUGUUCUAGUAUGCAUGCUACCGGCAUAAAUUGAUUUAAUAAAUAUUAUUUCUUCAGCCAAGGAUUAGAAUAGUGUGAACAAAUGCAAUUGGGGGUGGGGGGAAUAUUUCAAGUUUACAAUUCAUAGCUGUCCCCUUUGUUCUUUGAUUCCUCUCUGGUCUUUUAUGGCAAGGAUAUGGUACAUGAGAGGGUGAUUAGAAUGAAAAGCUUCAUCCAUCAAGUUUAACAACUUCUCUGGUGUAACUUCUGAGCGUGCUCAUUGCCUAUUCAUGUGGAAGUGAGCACGCCCAGCUCGUUCUGCUUAGUUUUGCUACUCUUCUUUGUUGGUUCACAAGGCUCUUAUGGUAGCUGCAAAUGGCUUCUCAAGUGACAUUUGCUGACAUUCAGGGGAGUAUAUUUAUCAGCUUUCUUCAGCUCACCUCUAUACAUGCAAUCCAUUUUAUUUGUGUUCUUCAUAGCAACCUUCUUUUUUUCUGUCCAUGCCCUGAAAAUGAUAAAUGGCGAGAUGGCAAAUUUCCCUAGCUGCACUAAAAUGUCACCAUAAAAGGGGUGGGGGGAAUCUUUAAUGGACUAAGUGUAGCAUUUCAGGUUGUAACUUGUCAAGGUGCUGGGAAAUUCUAGAGUUUCUCCUUAAUCCACAGUUCUUUGGAACCGCACUAGUGUAGGCAGAGAGUCUAAUUAUAAGUUACACCAGUCAGAGCUGGACAAGCAUAAACCAAGUGGAAAACAUUUCACGGCUGCUAAUUUUAUAUCUCACUUCUCUGUAUUCUCAACACACUGCUACUUCAUUCCCCAACAUUACACAUGCCCAGUGUGUUUACCCAUGUUCUAAUUAUAUGUGUGGAUAUAAUUUAUUUGAUUCUUAAUUACUUUGCUUAUAAUUAUCACGGAA